UAUUUACUGGAUAGCAUGAAUGUGCUGGGAAAAAAAAAAAGCCCAAAUAAUCUAGCAUAAGGCAUGUUGUGAUCUGACCUUGUAUUUUUCAAUAAAUUUAUGUUUUUCAAGGUACUGGACUAACAUAGCCCUCUGAAGUGCUCGAGGGAUCGAAAUCAACUGUCCCUUCAGAACAGCCCAUCAGUCAGAUCACGAUAGACUUCGUAUCACACCUGUUUGAAAUGCAUUACUUCUCUGUUGAUAAAGGUAAUGGUUAAAUUUAAGAAGGGGAGA
Molecule: long non-coding RNA, 273 nt
Filed under: Parus major (Great Tit)
Lineage: Eukaryota; Metazoa; Chordata; Aves; Passeriformes; Paridae
Description: lncRNA (ENSPMJG00000012111.1)
Source: RNAcentral